AUUGAACGCUGGCGGCAGGCCUAACACAUGCAAGUCGAGCGGUAGAGAGGAGCUUGCUUCUCUUGAGAGCGGCGGACGGGUGAGUAAUACCUAGGAAUCUGCCUGGUAGUGGGGGAUAACGUUCGGAAACGGACGCUAAUACCGCAUACGUCCUACGGGAGAAAGUGGGGGAUCUUCGGACCUCACGCUAUCAGAUGAGCCUAGGUCGGAUUAGCUAGUUGGUGAGGUAAAGGCUCACCAAGGCGAAGAUCCGUAACUGGUCUGAGAGGAUGAUCAGUCACAAUGGGACUGAGACACGGUCCAGACUCCUACGGGAGGCAGCAGUGGGGAAUAUUGGACAAUGGGCGCAAGCCUGAUCCAGCCAUGCCGCGUGUGUGAAGAAGGUCUUCGGAUUGUAAAGCACUUUAAGUUGGGAGGAAGGUCAGUAGCUUAAUACGUUGCUGAUUUGACGUUACCGACAGAAUAAGCACCGGCUAACUCUGUGCCAGCCGCCGCCGUAA
This 500-nucleotide ribosomal RNA is filed under the name uncultured bacterium. RNAcentral describes it as "partial 16S ribosomal RNA". It matches the Rfam family "Bacterial small subunit ribosomal RNA", at positions 30 to 523 of the family's 1533-position model. The record is from RNAcentral.